RNAcentral lists this ribosomal RNA (411 nucleotides) under Triticum aestivum (bread wheat). RNAcentral's name for it is "partial small subunit ribosomal RNA". Lineage: Eukaryota; Viridiplantae; Streptophyta; Magnoliopsida; Poales; Poaceae. The record is from RNAcentral.
AUGGCCAUUUAUCUCUGCAGAAACAGUAUGGCAUUGUCCAUUUACAGAGCCUCUACACAUCAGAAACAACAUCGAACUACCAACUACGUAAUAUAUGAUGCAAUGCAGCAAAAUCAGCAAAUAAAAACCGUCCAUUGCACAUCAGCAGUGUUAAAAAUUAAUCUUGCAGCUAAAUCUAUGGGCAACAGAAGGCAUCUAAGAUGGCCUCGGAUCGAGGAAACUAGGAACGAUCUGAAAGCGAUCACCACAUCGAUGACCAGAGCGCAAGAACUAGAAUCACACAUGAACGCAUCCAAGAUCCCCCACCAUACGGACCAAAAAUCCAUCCAUACAUACAAAGCAGAAAAGGGUGCCGCAGAAAUCCAGGGCGACAGGCAAUCAGCCCAUGAACGAACCAGAUCAAGAAACUGA